AUGGUUCACUAUUCACUUGACCCAGAAAACCCCACAAAAUCAUGCAAGUCAAGAGAUUCAAAUUUUCAUGUUCACUUCAAGAACACUGGUGAAACUGCCCAGGCCAUCAAGGGUAUGCAUAUACGAAAAGCCACCAAGUAUCUGAAAGAUGUCACUUUAAAGAAACAAUGUGUACCAUUCCGACGUUACAAUGGUGGAGUUGGUAGGUGUGCCCAGGCCAAACAGUGGGGCCAAAAAGAGUGCUGAAUUUUUGCUGCACAUGCUUAAAAAUGCAGAGAGUAAUGCUGAACUUAAGGGUUUGGAUGUAGAUUCUCUGGUCAUUGAGCGUAUCCAGGUGAACAAAGCACCCAAGAUGCGUCACCGAACUUACAGAAGUCAUGGUCGGAUUAAUCCAUACAUGAGCUCCCCCUGCCACAUCGAGAUGAUCCUCACUGAAAAGGAACAAAUUGUUCCAAAACCAGAGGAGGAGGUUGCACAGAAGAAAAAGAUAUCCCAGAAGAAACUGAAGAAACAAAAACUUAUGGCACAGGAGUAGAUGUAACAAAAUAAAUGAAAAUAAUAG
Non-coding RNA from Microcebus murinus (gray mouse lemur), 562 nucleotides. Lineage: Eukaryota; Metazoa; Chordata; Mammalia; Primates; Cheirogaleidae. The record is from RefSeq and is a predicted model, not a curated record.